AUAGUCUGUGUUAACUGAUUUAAUGUUUCAGACUACACGAGCAUGGUGCUAUAUGAAAUUUCUUCGAUGAGUUUUUUACUCAUGCCAUAUAUUAGCAGUUUGCUAAUAUAUGGCUCAACUUUUGAAGAUACAUUG
This is a small nucleolar RNA of Arabidopsis thaliana (thale cress), 135 nucleotides long. Lineage: Eukaryota; Viridiplantae; Streptophyta; Magnoliopsida; Brassicales; Brassicaceae. The record is from RefSeq.